AUUUAAACCUGAUUGAAGCGGAAAUACUUUUUGAUGAAGUUUGCAACGGGUUCACACUGACAAAUCGCAAAAAGAUUUUAGCAAAAAGCAGGGCUGCUU
This 99-nucleotide small RNA is filed under the name Pedobacter sp. Leaf194. RNAcentral describes it as "Flavo-1 RNA". It matches the Rfam family "Flavo-1 RNA". The record is from Rfam by way of RNAcentral. Lineage: Bacteria; Pseudomonadati; Bacteroidota; Sphingobacteriia; Sphingobacteriales; Sphingobacteriaceae.